This 914-nucleotide ribosomal RNA is filed under the name uncultured archaeon. Its description in RNAcentral is "bacterial SSU rRNA". It matches the Rfam family "Archaeal small subunit ribosomal RNA", at positions 1 to 923 of the family's 1478-position model. The record is from RNAcentral.
UUCCGGUUGAUCCCGCCGGACCUGACUGCUAUCGGAUUGAUACUAAGCCAUGCGAGUCUUUGUAGCAAUACAAGGCAGACGGCUCAGUAACACGUAGUCAAUCUAACCUAUGGACGAGGAUAACCUCGGGAAACUGAGAAUAAUACUCGAUAGACCAUAAUGCCUGGAACGGUUUAUGGUUCAAAUGAAUUUCGCCAUAGGGUGGGACUGCGGUCUAUCAGCUUGUUGGUGAGGUAAUGGCCCACCAAGGCUAUAACAGAUACGGGCUCUGAGAGGAGAAGCCCGGAGAUGGGUACUGAGACACGGACCCAGGCCCUAUGGGGCGCAGCAGGCGAGAAAACUUUGCAAUGUGCGAAAGCACGACAAGGUUAAUCCGAGUGGUUCCUGCUAAAGGAACCUUUUGUUAGUUGUAACACCACUGAUGAAUAAGGGGUGGGCAAGUUCUGGUGUCAGCCGCCGCGGUAAAACCAGCACCUCAAGUGGUCAGGAGGAUUAUUGGGCCUAAAGCAUCCGUAGCCGGCUCUGUAAGUUUUCGGUUAAAUCUAUAUGCUCAACAUAUGGGCUGCCGGGAAUACUGCAAAGCUAGGAAGUGGGAGAGGUAGACGGUACUCCGUAGGAAGGGGUAAAAUCCUUUGAUCUAUUGAUGACCACCUGUGGCGAAGGCGGUCUACCAGAACACGUCCGACGGUGAGGGAUGAAAGCUGGGGGAGCAAACCGGAUUAGAUACCCGGGUAGUCCCAGCUGUAAACAAUGCAAACUCAGUGAUGCACUGGCUUGUGGCCAGUGCAGUGCUGCAGGGAAGCCGUUAAGUUUGCCGCCUGGGAAGUACGUACGCAAGUAUGAAACUUAAGGGAUUUGGCGGGGGAGCACCACAAGGGGUGAAGCCUGCGGUUCAAUUGGAUUCAACGCCGGGA